Salvia splendens (bonfire salvia) is the source of this 105-nucleotide small nuclear RNA. The record is from RefSeq and is a predicted model, not a curated record. NCBI's taxonomy places the organism in Eukaryota, Viridiplantae, Streptophyta, Magnoliopsida, Lamiales, Lamiaceae.
GUCUUAUUGAAGAUAUUCGGUAAAUUUGAAAUUAUACAGAGAAGAUUAUUAUCAUGGGUCAUAUGCAAGUAUGACUAGCACAAUCGAGAAACGAUCCAAACUUCU